RNAcentral lists this transfer RNA (73 nucleotides) under Felis catus (domestic cat). It matches the Rfam family "tRNA". From Rfam's summary of the family: Transfer RNA (tRNA) molecules are approximately 80 nucleotides in length. Their secondary structure includes four short double-helical elements and three loops (D, anti-codon, and T loops). The record is from Rfam by way of RNAcentral. Lineage: Eukaryota; Metazoa; Chordata; Mammalia; Carnivora; Felidae. RNAcentral also lists the same sequence under 3 other names.
ACCUGGUUGGCUCAGUCAGUAAAGCAUGUGACUCUUGAUCUCAGGGUUGUAAGUUUAAGCCCCACAUUGGGUG